UAAGAAGAACCGGCUCUUUUAGUAGGAGUUUAAUUGCAUCUCUAAACGGCUGAAGUAGCCCUUUAAAUCCUA
RNAcentral lists this transfer RNA (72 nucleotides) under Porcellio dilatatus dilatatus. RNAcentral describes it as "tRNA-Asn". Lineage: Eukaryota; Metazoa; Arthropoda; Malacostraca; Isopoda; Porcellionidae. The record is from RNAcentral.